Long non-coding RNA from Hevea brasiliensis (rubber tree), 1168 nucleotides. RefSeq lists it as uncharacterized. The record is from RefSeq and is a predicted model, not a curated record. The transcript has 2 exons. NCBI's taxonomy places the organism in Eukaryota, Viridiplantae, Streptophyta, Magnoliopsida, Malpighiales, Euphorbiaceae.
UUUCAAAUCAAAUCUCUUUCCAAAACCGAUCAUGUAACAUCCAAAAUCACUUUAUUAGACUUCGGUAGGAUCGUGCAUCCGGAAAAACACCACCCAUUCCCUUCCCUUGGUGUGCCUGCCCAGCAUUUUUUAAUUUUACCGACAAGAACAAACUAUUUCCAAUAUUCUCUUUUCUCCCCUUUUAUCUUCUCAAAUUUUUCGCCCUCCGUAAACAUAGUAUUAGGGUUUAUAUGUCACUUCUGGAAAUUAAAAAAAUACCGCUUGAUAACUGCCCAGCUAUCAGCUGCCGGCGGCUCAAUGGUCGGAUUUUAUUUUUGCAUUACUCAUUGAAGUCUCUUAUUAUUUUUCUUGUGCUAUUCAACCCUUGAAGCAGAUAGUGAUUAAGUAUAUGCUCUACCGAUUUCUUCAAUUUCUAAGUUUUAUGUAUGAAAUUGUAUGCGAUUUUGGAGUCUCUUGGCCUCUGACUAGUGAAACUCGAGGUUGAUUUCUGUCUCUUUGUUGCUAAGUGCUUGCCAUUUGAUGAAAGAGGCCUUUUCUGUUGUAUUUUAAUGAGCUGAACAUUUUGAUUGAUAGAAAAAAAAAAAAUGAAGUGAGAGAGGGCUUGAAUGGAAACUCGACAAAAGCAGGAGGACUUCUUGUGCACUUUUUUCUUCAUAUUCAUGCCUAAUAGGUGUAGGAUUUCUUUUUCCUCAGUGACAUGUAGAUACAGAUGCAUCAAUCACACAUACGAGAUAUCUGUUUGUCCUAUAUUUUACUUUAAAAUGGGAAGAAUAAAUAUAAUAGAAACCUAGGAUUGGUGUGGUUGAAGAUGAAUUGAAGUCCUUUGGAUGGUGCCAGCAUUGGAUCAUAUAAGAACUCCUCAUUAGGUAUCUGUAAAUCCCAUUUGAAUUUUCUCACAAUAUUAUGCAAGAAAACAAGUAUCUCUAUACAAGCAAAUUCAUGCCCCAAGCACAUCCUUGAUGCCCCUUCAAAGGGAAUGUAUGAAUAUUGAGCAGGUCCUCCUGCAAACUUGAAGCAUCAAGGUCUUCUGGAUUUGGACAAACAGCUGGAUCUUUUUAUGUUGAGCCAGUGCUCAUAUACAAAUAGCAUAACUAAGGAAGCAACUUUGUAUUAAUGAGAGAUAUUUUCCCUGCUAUGGUAUAGUCCAUGAUGCAUAUAUUUCAUUCAA